RNAcentral lists this ribosomal RNA (313 nucleotides) under uncultured Bacillota bacterium. RNAcentral's name for it is "bacterial SSU rRNA". It matches the Rfam family "Bacterial small subunit ribosomal RNA", at positions 28 to 351 of the family's 1533-position model. Lineage: Bacteria; Bacillati; Bacillota. The record is from RNAcentral.
GACGAACGCUGGCGGUAUGCCUAAUACAUGCAAGUCGAGCGGAGCUCUUCGGAGCUUAGCGGCGAACGGGUGAGUAACACGUGGGCAACCUGCCCUCUAGACUGGAAUAACUUGGGGAAACUUAAGCUAAUACCGGAUAAUCUUACAUAUCGCAUGAUAAGUAAGUAAAAGAUUUAUCACUAGAGGAUGGGCCCGCGGUGCAUUAGCUAGUUGGUGGGGUAAUGGCCUACCAAGGCGACGAUGCGUAGCCGACCUGAGAGGGUGAUCGGCCACACUGGGACUGAGACACGGCCCAGACUCCUACGGGUGGCAG